GACGAACGCUGGCGGCGUGCCUAAUACAUGCAAGUAGAACGCUGAAGGAGGAGCUUGCUUCUCCGGAUGAGUUGCGAACGGGUGAGUAACGCGUAGGUAACCUGCCUGGUAGCGGGGGAUAACUAUUGGAAACGAUAGCUAAUACCGCAUAAGAGUAGAUGUUGCAUGACAUUUGCUUAAAAGGUGCAAUUGCAUCACUACCAGAUGGACCUGCGUUGUAUUAGCUAGUUGGUGGGGUAACGGCUCACCAAGGCGACGAUACAUAGCCGACCUGAGAGGGUGAUCGGCCACACUGGGACUGAGACACGGCCCAGACUCCUACGGGAGGCAGCAGUAGGGAAUCUUCGGCAAUGGACGGAAGUCUGACCGAGCAACGCCGCGUGAGUGAAGAAGGUUUUCGGAUCGUAAAGCUCUGUUGUAAGAGAAGAACGAGUGUGAGAGUGGAAAGUUCACACUGUGACGGUAUUUUACCAGAAAGGGACGGCUAACUACGUGCCAGCAGCCGCGGUAAUACGUAGGUCCCGAGCGUUGUCCGGAUUUAUUGGGCGUAAAGCGAGCGCAGGCGGUUAGAUAAGUCUGAAGUUAAAGGCUGUGGCUUAACCAUAGUACGCUUUGGAAACUGUUUAACUUGAGUGCAAGAGGGGAGAGUGGAAUUCCAUGUGUAGCGGUGAAAUGCGUAGAUAUAUGGAGGAACACCGGUGGCGAAAGCGGCUCUCUGGCUUGUAACUGACGCUGAGGCUCGAAAGCGUGGGGAGCAAACAGG
RNAcentral lists this ribosomal RNA (763 nucleotides) under uncultured Streptococcus sp. RNAcentral's name for it is "bacterial SSU rRNA". It matches the Rfam family "Bacterial small subunit ribosomal RNA", at positions 28 to 776 of the family's 1533-position model. The record is from RNAcentral. Lineage: Bacteria; Bacillati; Bacillota; Bacilli; Lactobacillales; Streptococcaceae.